UACUCAGAUCCUUUAAUAAGGUUGAUUUUUUCACCUUCCUAUAGAUAAAACAAAACCACUCUUUAGAAGGGUAUAGUAAAAGAAUGGUGUAGCUGCGGAAUGAUCUAACAAAAAUAUUUGAAAGUGGGAGAGUAAAUGAAAUAGAUUACUGAUUGUGGUUGUUGGUUUUCAUUUGGAAGAAAUAUAUUUAUGAACUAGAGAUUAGUGUAAAUAAGAGGCAAUGCAAGGAUGGGAUACGGCCUUAGUUCAACAUAACACCCAAAAUACUCUGGAGAGAGCAAAUUGAAGGUAAGUCCAUUGAGGUGCAAGUUUAGGAUGCCUACAGAAAAGGUGAGACCCUCUGCGUUUACGCUGUGCUUUUGUUUCCUUUUGGAGGGUGGUAUGUUGAUCUGCAAUCAAUGAGAAAGAAGAGGAGGAAGGCUUCGGGGUGUGAACGAGGGCACGUAACACAAUCACUUACCAUAUGCAGAAAAAGCGAGCAGUAAAAAAUGGACAAAGAUGAAAAAAACUCAAAGACACAGCAGAGAGAUUUACCCAGAAAGUCAAAACCAUAUCUCUACAUUCAUGGAGGCUGCCAUCUUUGAGACACUAGGCUUUUCUCAAAUUUGACAAUUUUUAUGCGUGAUGCCAUUGGUGGGAUAAGACAUGCUUCUCUUUCUUUCUGAUUGUUUCUUUCAUCUUUUGAUUGCGAUGAGUUUUGUUGUAGGCACUUGAAUUGGAUUUUCACUGUGUUGGAUUGAUGACGGGAGAUCACAUGUUUAUACCCCGCAAGUUGGACCUAGCUAGCCGUUAGAAUUAGAAGAAUAUCGCUUUGGACAGGUCAUUUCCCUUUGAUGCUUAAGUUAGUAAUUGUGUGUGAGAACUGAGAAGUAAUAAUUGUAGAGAGAGAAAGUUGAGAGAAGGUAGGCAAAAGCCCCUACGUGUACUAUUCAUGGGGUAUAUAUGCCUUAGUUUGGGAGAUUACAUGUGUAUACCGUAGGUGCCGCCUCUCUAGCCUUUAGAAUUGGAAGGAUAACCCUUUGAAACAGGCUAUCUCCACUUUGAUGCUUAAAUUAGUAAUUGUGUGUGAGAACUGAGAAGUAGUAAUUGUAGAGAGAGGAAGUUGAGAGAAGGCGGCCAAAAGCCCCUACAUGUACUAUUCAUGGGGUAUAUAUACCUUAGAUUGGGAGUUAUUGCUCCUAAAAUGACCAAAUAAAUGUGUGAUUUGCUAAUCAACCGAAGGAUGAUAAGUCGCAGAAGUAGAUAAAUUCUUUCUUAGUGCCUCAUUGUGACAAAGUCAUUGGGCAUUUUAAAACCCAAUCAAGUAUUUUGAGAUUCCUCAACAUUUUUGACAAAAGCAGUUCUCGAUAAUGGUACGGGUCACCCUUUUACAGGGAUAUUGUUGAUGGUUUAAGUGCGCCACGAGUUAUUAUGCAAAUGUCUAACAACAAGUUCAUCGUGAUUAUCAUGACAUGUCGUCAUGGUUUUUGCAAUAUUUAUGUCUUCUCUUUUGGUCAAUUGUCUUUUCUGUUACCCCUUUCUCUUUAUUGGGGUCUCUUUCUCUACCCCCCUCUUUUCUCAAGAGGUUUUCUUUUUGUGCUUGCAAAUGAAUUGAGAUAAGAUUAAUUUAGUCAAGAAGUUUUCAAAAAUAUAAAAUGCAAUGCAAUACAUUUCGUCAGUGUAAACUCCAUAUUAUCUGAAAUGGAACAUCUUUUUGUAGAAUUUUCGUGCCAGUCAUUAUCCUCCUUGUUCUCUAAGAAGGGUCCUUGAGCCUCUGUUUUGUUGGUUGUUAUCCUUUUUGCUUUGAUGUCUACCACCAGAGCUUUCUGUCACCACUUUGAUCGCUGUUUUGCUUGUUGGUCUCAAUUUAAUUCUCCAUGUCAAAGGCGAAUUUGUCAACUUCUUACUGUCUUCUGUGCUGCUGCGUGUGUCAUUCUAAUAUGGAUCUAAGUUACGCUCUUGUGAUGGAACUUAUGAAAUGAUUCUAAAUCUCAAAUUAAUGAGAAACACAACUCAACUCUUCAAUUGCUUGAAAACAAAAGUUUAACAAGCAAGAUCAUGCUAAACUCACAAAAUUUUCAAAUAAUGCCCACUUAAAUGUGCAACGGUAGGUCUAUAGCUAAUUACAUUCUUCUUGCGCAUACCUAUAAAAGAAGACAAACAUAAGCCCAAUGAACCAUAAAGAACUGUAUUAUCCCGAAAAUUAACUCUUACAACCUAGAAGCAGCUAAUGGCCCAGAACACCUAUAACGAAUCCAAUAUGUUUAAAAUGCCUACCUCAAAAGUCAUGUAAAAACCACAUAAGUUCCUAAUAAAGCAACAAAGAUACUAGUAAGUGAACAAGUUAUGAUAGCAAUUUUGACUUGAUGAUGUGGGGCUUGGAUCCACAUUAUGUUCUGUGCUACCUAAGUUAAGUUAGACUGUUAGAGUUCAUCACCCACGAGGAUACUUGAUCCAUCUUCUCAAUCCCUAUAUCAUCCGCUUGCUUGCCUGUCAUUGGUGUCAAUUUCUCAGUCACACCAACUUUCUCGAACAUCACCUUCUCUUUAUACUUCUUAUGCUUCUCUUUUGAUUUUCUCUGUCUCCCUCCCCGAGAAGUAGCCUCUCUUAUGCGUGCCUUAAUUGCAUGGGGCACUUGCAUUUCCUUGGAUCACCUCGUUUUUUCAGAAACCAUGACCUAGAGUGCUGGCAUUUUUACUUUCUGAAAACACUAAUCACACAACUUUUUUUAUUAUCUAACGAAUAACAUAGACUUCGGAAACAAUACUCGACAAAAACCAUCUAGCAUCAUCUGUUCCUCCAUUUGUAGUAACAGGGUAGUGUAAGCUUGAACUUAACUUAAAAUCGAAAUAUUCUCUUCCUAGUCCCCGAGCUCCUAUUACAAUUUUGCAAGUAGAUUUAAUCAUUAUGUGGGUUCAUGGCCGCGUUCUAAAUUUUAUUGCCGUAGUUAGUACCUCGUAGAGUAAAAUUGCUGUAUAAAAUGGCUACACAUUCUCUUAGAGAGUAUAAAGAGGGUUAAAGAGUGUUGUUUUCUCUAUUAUGCUUAUUUUGUCUUUCUCUAAGUGUUGUUCUUCAUUUCUUCUCAACUUUGUCAUUUAGUAUAUGGUAUCUGUUUUCUGUAAGGUUUUGUUUGUAUUGCAUACGCUUUGUUUCAUUAAUGGUCGCUAUUACUCUGCUGAAGUGGAAGGUAAAAAAAACUCUGACCAACCCCCUCUGCCCAAGAAAGCUAUAUAGAUGUAAUCUAUAUUAUUCACAAUUGACCUCUUAGCAAGUAUGUGUUUCUCUGUCAUAAUUUCCUUUUGUGUUCAUAAUGAUUGUCUUUCAAUGUUGUUCAUGUUAAGUUUGCCGUUUUGUAUAUCUUCUUGUUGGUUAAUCUCCUUUUGUUUUCCAAUGUAAAACUUCCAACAAUAUUAACGUAGAAGAGGAGAUGUAAUAACUCGAAGUCCUUUUUCCCCCCUUAGCUUCUUCAUGACGCUCUUGAACAUCGAAGAUUCCUUGAACAUUCAUCUACACCUCGACUCCUCAUAUUUUGUAGUUGCAUGUAUAUGUAUAAAAGGGACACAUCAACCAAAAAAUAUGCCAAAGCCUUAAUUCCAAAAAAUGGAUAGUCUACAACUACAAGACUUAAGAAUUCAUCUUCUACAGUCGUUCAAAAAGACCCUCUUCCUCCAUUUACUUCUAUAUCAUGUUAAAUGCUCUUGCAAACCCAUUUACCUCAUAUAGUAAUAUUUUAUUUGCCUCCCUCCCUUCUUCGAGAAUCCCCAUAAUCCCAACUCUACAAAAGGACAAGCUUCUUUGAUUGCCGGUUGGAAGUUGGGUGUAUUGAUAGCAUUAAAGCUUGGUCGCAUCUUCUCAAUUUAAAGGUCCAUUGUUGGAAUUAGCUAAGGGCCUAUAUGGUUCACUGAACUAGUAUUGGAAUGGUAUGGAGAUCCUUACCAUGAUGGUAUGGAUUCUGGAUUCAUAUCUCUAUACCAACCAAUUUUGUUUGGUAAAAUCUUAGAGUGGAUACUAUGCCCAUUCAUAUUGUUUGAUUCAUUUUUGGAAUGGAUUCUAUGUCUAAUUUUGAUUCUUAAUAGAAUUAAUUACUUGUAUUUUUUUAUUUUUUUAUUUCUUUAUUUGAGAUUAAUUAUAAUUUCAAUCCUUAAAAACAAAUACGAAUUUUAUGAAAUAUUAUUAUAGAAAUGAAAUAGAAAAACAAAAAAAAAACCAUCAAAACAAAUUGAAAUUUAUAAUAACAAACA
Molecule: long non-coding RNA, 4220 nt
Organism: Beta vulgaris subsp. vulgaris (sugar beet)
Lineage: Eukaryota; Viridiplantae; Streptophyta; Magnoliopsida; Caryophyllales; Amaranthaceae
Exons: 2
Source: RefSeq, a predicted model, not a curated record